GAGGGAUGUCUUUUUUUUUGUCGUCACGAUUUAUUAUUAAUUGCAAAUUAUGAGAACUGUUACAUAGACGAUUCUACAACUGACAAUUCCUUCCGACCCUUACUAGAUUCACGACAGACUACACUUCCUUCUUCGUAAUCUUGAUGAAUACUUUCAAUGAUCCACGACCUGGCGACACUUCCUUCUCUGCGUAGAAUCCUGGCGAACGGCUAUAAUUGUACAUCGCUGGAGAUCUCUUGCACACUUGCCUCCAUUAAUCUGCAAAUUUGUUAAUAAAUCGCAAUAUCUGGGACUCGAACCCCAGACUUUUUGGUGUAGAAGCAUUAAUCAACCCUUGGUCAACCAAUGGG
This 350-nucleotide long non-coding RNA is filed under the name Arabidopsis lyrata. Its description in RNAcentral is "long non-coding RNA (ALYR_LNC003333)". The record is from RNAcentral. Lineage: Eukaryota; Viridiplantae; Streptophyta; Magnoliopsida; Brassicales; Brassicaceae.